CGGGCGAGAAGGUUUAUUACGCGGCAUUUGUAUCUCCGAUGAAAACGCCUCGAAUUAUAAAACCCCUCGAAUUAUAAAACCCGACAUUUCGUCGACGCGGUACUGCACGGUGUACCCGGCGCCACCCAAGUCCAACUUGGAGAACUGUAACGACCGCGCGUCCAGAGAGAAACAAAACCGGCGACCACGAUGACCAGUUCGGCUACCGUCCCUUAAGAGGCACGAAAAAAGAUUCCCCCGUGGUUUGUGAAGACGGGGGCAGCGCAAAUCCAGUCGGUUUAUUUUUUUAACCCCAAACCAAGUUUUUUUUUGUUUUAGCCUUGCGUGAGAACGUCUAACCUCUGUUAUUGGACCUGGCGGAGGCUUGGCUGGUAGAAAGACCCGAGCUCGGCGGCUCUCGUUAAGGGCAGGGCGGGCCGCGCGAGUCCCGGGCUGGACCGACACCACUGCCGGUCUUUGACAGAGCCGAUUGGUGUUUUCUCGCUUUAAUAUGCGGCUUUAAAGGACAUGAACGGAUCCCACCAGUCCAUUUUCUAUCCGCUCCCCCCCCCCGACUCCGCACGGGCAGCACCCCGGCGCUGCGAGACAGGGCGCCGCCGGCGCGCCCGUGUUACAGCUCCCAGGGUAGAAAAAUCCCGAGCUUCAGGCCUGCCGGAUGAAGUUGAGCGACUCUCUCAAACGAACCCCUCUAGACACCAGCAGCCCCCAGAGUCGCCUCUUGUUGAGCAGACUGGAGCGGAUUCUCCGACGGCUCAAGACGGACCCUGUCAUUCAAUAAUUCGCCGAUGAGUUUGCGGACCGGGGGUGUCGCCAACAGGAAGAUUUGGGAGCGGGGGGGCAAUUUAUCCGGGAGAUUAUGGAACUUCCUGGAGGUCUGGUGUCAGAAAUACGGACGAAGUCAACGUGUCGGCGCCUGGAGCACCGCGGCGUGAAACCACAGCAGGAGAGCGACGCUCUAGAACAGGUGUCCCCGUUCUAGAACAGGGACAGCGAUUCUAGAACUGAUCUUCCCACAGGACAGGGGCAUAUCGGUUCUAGAACAGAGAGCUACAGCACCUGCGGCAUCGCUUUGUAGGACAGCGGUGUCUGCUCAGAGCCCAUGUUGUCCGAUAAACCGCCGUUACGCCAUUAACGUGCUCGUUAUGUGCUGUCAUUAACACGGCCACACGCGCUCGUCUCGGGCUGCUUAUCUUCCUAAUUUGAACUUUUUUCUAAAACAAAAACGCCAAAGGUGUAACGUUUGUACAAGAUAUGCCUUCUACCGCGUCUUGAACGGCUUACCCAAGUAUUAAAAAAGAAUUACGCUUAAUAAAUACCGAGCUGUAUUUCGGAAAACAGCGCACAAGGUGAGGGAUGUUCUAAAACAGCGGGUCAGUACAGGGGACUGAACACACGCUGA
RNAcentral lists this long non-coding RNA (1399 nucleotides) under Lepisosteus oculatus (spotted gar). RNAcentral describes it as "lncRNA (ENSLOCG00000021292.1)". Lineage: Eukaryota; Metazoa; Chordata; Actinopteri; Semionotiformes; Lepisosteidae. The record is from RNAcentral.